RNAcentral lists this unclassified non-coding RNA (425 nucleotides) under uncultured Clavulinopsis. RNAcentral's name for it is "sequence contains ITS2". The stretch from base 1 to 154 matches the Rfam family "5.8S ribosomal RNA". Lineage: Eukaryota; Fungi; Basidiomycota; Agaricomycetes; Agaricales; Clavariaceae. The record is from RNAcentral.
AACUUUCGACAAUGGAUCUCUUGGCUCUCGCAUCGAUGGAGAACGCAGCGAAUUGCGAUAUGUAAUGUGAAUUGCAGAAUUCAGUGAAUCAUCGAAUCUUUGAACGCACCUUGCGCCCUUUGGUAUUCCGAAGGGCAUGCCUGUUUGAGUGUCAUUAAAUUCUCAACUUCAAAAUUCUGUUUUGAAGCUUGGAUGUUGGAGGGUUUGCAGGCAAUUUUGAUUGUCAGCUCCUCUUAAAUGCAUUAGCAAAACUUGUACGUUCGGCUCUGGUUUGAUAAUACUAUCUAUGCCGUUGCUGAAAGGUCUUUUGUUCAGCUUCUGAUGGUCCAUCCUUUUGGACUGUCUCUUUGGAGGCAUAUCUUUGACUUGACCUCAAAUCAGGUAGGACUACCCGCUGAACUUAAGCAUAUCAAUAAGCGGAGGCU